RNAcentral lists this ribosomal RNA (119 nucleotides) under Pteropus alecto (black flying fox). The record is from RNAcentral. Lineage: Eukaryota; Metazoa; Chordata; Mammalia; Chiroptera; Pteropodidae.
GUCUACGGCUAUGCUACCGUGAACGAGCCCGAUCCUGUCUGAUCUGAGAAGCUAAGCAGGAUUGGUCCUGGUUAGUAUUUGGAUGGGAGACCACCUAGGAAGACCAGGUGCUGUAGUAG